RNAcentral lists this long non-coding RNA (651 nucleotides) under Betta splendens (Siamese fighting fish). Its description in RNAcentral is "lncRNA (ENSBSLG00000012079.1)". Lineage: Eukaryota; Metazoa; Chordata; Actinopteri; Anabantiformes; Osphronemidae. The record is from RNAcentral.
UAUGUGCAUGUUAUCUUGCUGAACCCUCUGUGUUGUUUACUGUGUCAUUUAUUGUCUUGUAGAGUUUUAUCAUGAUUGCUCCCCUAAGCAGACGGAUAAAACCUAAUUCAAAACCGUAAAGGGGAUAUGAUUGUGGUUUAAACCUAAAUCUUUCUGCAGGUUUCACUUUGGCAAGUGACCUUUGUUAUCUCACCAGAAGAAGGAUGUCCACCCACUGUAAAGUGCUGUGGGAGGUUUGAACCCACUGUCUGGUCGUCACCAGGUGAAUCAGAGACUGAGGACCACAGACAACGGAACAAAGUGAUGAAACAUAAAUUGGAAAAAAAACAACAAGGAGAACGCGAAGAAGCAAACCAACAACCAGAGGAGGCACAAAGAAGAACGUGCAGCAGCAAAGGCUGAAUAUGUAUGAGAGAAAGUCAAUCAGUGCAGCAGCAGCAGCAGCGGCAGCGGCGGCCCGUCUUCAUCCCUCAACCUGGCAGCGGUCGGUGAGCGGCCUGUGAGCUGCUGUUCCGGCAGCCAGCAGCCGGUUAGCAGCCAUCUGCUCGGCCGGUGCCGGUGUCCAGACGCCGGUCCGGCAGAACCGGGACGCAGGUUCAAGGACGACUUGUAUGAGGGAAACGGAGCCGGCGCCGCAGCAGUCGUGGUUGA